AGCGAGCGCUGGCGGCAGGCCUAACACAUGCAAGUCGAACGGACCCUUCGGGGUUAGUGGCGGACGGGUGAGUAACACGUGGGAACGUGCCUUUAGGUUCGGAAUAGCUCCUGGAAACGGGUGGUAAUGCCGAAUGUGCCCUUCGGGGGAAAGAUUUAUCGCCUUUAGAGCGGCCCGCGUCUGAUUAGCUAGUUGGUGAGGUAACGGCUCACCAAGGCGACGAUCAGUAGCUGGUCUGAGAGGAUGACCAGCCACACUGGGACUGAGACACGGCCCAGACUCCUACGGGAGGCAGCAGUGGGGAAUCUUGCGCAAUGGGCGAAAGCCUGACGCAGCCAUGCCGCGUGAAUGAUGAAGGUCUUAGGAUUGUAAAAUUCUUUCACCGGGGACGAUAAUGACGGUACCCGGAGAAGAAGCCCCGGCUAACUUCGUG
RNAcentral lists this ribosomal RNA (433 nucleotides) under uncultured bacterium. RNAcentral describes it as "partial 16S ribosomal RNA". It matches the Rfam family "Bacterial small subunit ribosomal RNA", at positions 29 to 507 of the family's 1533-position model. The record is from RNAcentral.